Myotis brandtii (Brandt's bat) is the source of this 1007-nucleotide long non-coding RNA. RefSeq lists it as uncharacterized. The transcript is spliced from 2 exons. The record is from RefSeq and is a predicted model, not a curated record. Lineage: Eukaryota; Metazoa; Chordata; Mammalia; Chiroptera; Vespertilionidae.
UUGUGUUUAAAACUUAAAACGGGAACGGGGCGGUGAGAACUACCCGUGAAAUAUGUUCAUUAAAGUGCAGAUUUUAGUCUGCACAUUACAUGUUUUAUUAAAUCUGAAUAAUGUCUUUGAAAUGGACAUUUAUGCUUUUUAACUACUAAUUAUUGGUUCUAAAAUAAUGAAUUACAACGGAUCAUGGUAGGGGUGUAGCUAAGAAAACUCGUUGGCGGGAGAAGGGUGCUAACCACUCUGGGUGUCAAAUGCGCUGGGAGGGCCCCGCCCCCCGCCCCCCGCCCCAUCCUUCCAUAGGCACUCCCAGGUUUCCGCUAGUCAUCUGGGUGGUCUGACCAGUCUGCCCCUCAGCCUGAGUAGCAGUAGAAAAUGCCCCCCUGGUAGCCGAUGGGACGUGGGGAAAUUACUGAGCUACGGGCAUUUUAACUGCAAUCUUCCAGGGGCAAUGUUCUUUUGUUACUUAUUUAACCGAUUUAAGUGAUGACCCUACAGGUGGUCAGCAAUGGUGCCCCUACAGGGACCUGUUAACAAGAACGAUGCCAGCACAAGUGUGACGCCUGAGGAUGCCUCACCCAGGCUUGUCAAGUAACUCUCAUGGCGAGCGGGGCUGAGCUCCUGGGUGCAAGGACACCUGCACUGUCCUGGAGGCCUAAGGAGAACUCGCUGUGGACACACUGGAGGGCCAAGCAGUAGCCGUGCAGAAGCGUGUGUGGGAGUCGCCUCCCCACUGCUCUCCUGUCCUCCGGUCCCUGAGCUGGGAAUCCACACGCACCGACUGCAGGUCCCAGCGGAACUUACCAGCCGUGCGAAUUUGCUCCGCCUCUUCCUUUCCGCCGCCGAGAUCUGACGAGCUCUCGCGAGACCCAGGCCUCUUCUCAAGCCGGCGCUCACCCAAGUAAGUGUGGGGCCUCCCGUGCGCGCGAGCUUUUCUGUCGAUUUCGAGGGGGACACGCUUUGGAGGCAGCUCUGGAGCGGCGGGCCCUGCUCGCCGGGUGGGGAUACGGCGG